This 464-nucleotide long non-coding RNA is filed under the name Zonotrichia albicollis (white-throated sparrow). Its description in RNAcentral is "lncRNA (ENSZALG00000000026.1)". Lineage: Eukaryota; Metazoa; Chordata; Aves; Passeriformes; Passerellidae. The record is from RNAcentral.
CUGUCAGCAAGAAGCUCGAAGCUCAUGAUGUUUUCCCAAGGGACAGCCCACACAUUCAUCUGUCUUUAAUAAAAGCAAAUCUGCCCGGCUGUAUCGGCUGAUGUACUGUGCUUGCCUUGGAACAACAAUCAUGUGUUGUUUUUUUUUCAGUGGGAGGGUUUUCAAGAUUUAUGGGUGUGCUGAGAAAACAUGGGAGGAAUCUGCCUGGAGGGCUGAUGGAUCUCCAUGGAAUGAAAGAUGUACUCAAUGAAGUGCAUUUAUACACACUGUCCUUGGCUUGCAGUGCAGCUUUCCAAGGACAGUUGGAAGAUGUUCAGACACUAUUACUGAAGCACAGAAGAGAGGGAAAAUUAAACAAGGUCCAUAAAGCAGCUCUGAAGUUCAACAGCAGAAAUCCCUGCUUCUUGGCUUUCUCAAGGAAUUCACAUCCUGAUCCAGCAACAUUAAAGCAAGAAUCUGUUUUG